Molecule: ribosomal RNA, 497 nt
Filed under: uncultured bacterium
Lineage: Bacteria
Description: partial 16S ribosomal RNA
Rfam family: Bacterial small subunit ribosomal RNA
Source: RNAcentral
GAUGAACGCUGGCGGCGUGCCUAAUACAUGCAAGUCGAGCGAACAGACGAGGAGCUUGCUCCUCUGACGUUAGCGGCGGACGGGUGAGUAACACGUGGAUAACCUACCUAUAAGACUGGGAUAACUUCGGGAAACCGGAGCUAAUACCGGAUAAUAUAUUGAACCGCAUGGUUCAAUAGUGAAAGACGGUUUUGCUGUCACUUAUAGAUGGAUCCGCGCCGCAUUAGCUAGUUGGUAAGGUAACGGCUUACCAAGGCGACGAUGCGUAGCCGACCUGAGAGGGUGAUCGGCCACACUGGAACUGAGACACGGUCCAGACUCCUACGGGAGGCAGCAGUAGGGAAUCUUCCGCAAUGGGCGAAAGCCUGACGGAGCAACGCCGCGUGAGUGAUGAAGGUCUUCUGAUCGUAAAACUCUGUUAUUAGGGAAGAACAAAUGUGUAAGUAACUAUGCACGUCUUGACGGUACCUAAUCAGAACGCCACGGCUAACUACGUG